UACAGAGGGUGCAAGCGUUAAUCGGAAUUACUGGGCGUAAAGCGUGCGUAGACGGUUACAUAAGUCGGGUGUGAAAGCCCCGGGCUCAACCUGGGAAUGGCAUUCGAGACUGUGUAGCUAGGAUGCGGAAGAGGGAAGCGGAAUUUCCGGUGUAGCGGUGAAAUGCGUAGAUAUCGGAAGGAACACCAGUGGCGAAAGCGGCUUCCUGGUCCAGCAUCGACGUUCAGGCACGAAAGCGUGGGGAGCAAACAGG
RNAcentral lists this ribosomal RNA (253 nucleotides) under uncultured bacterium. RNAcentral's name for it is "partial 16S ribosomal RNA". It matches the Rfam family "Bacterial small subunit ribosomal RNA", at positions 524 to 776 of the family's 1533-position model. The record is from RNAcentral.